GAUCAGUGGCUCAGGACGACGCUGGCGGCGUGCUUAACACAUGCAAGUCGAACGGUGAACCAGAGCUUGCUCUGGGGAUCAGUGGCGAACGGGUGAGUAACACGUGGGCAACCUGCCCCAGACUCUGGGAUAACCUCGGGAAACCGAUGCUGAUACCGGAUACGACCACUUCGGACAUCCGACGGUGGUGGAAAGUUUUUCGGUCUGGGAUGGGCCCGCGGCCUAUCAGCUAGUUGGUGGGGUAAUGGCCUACCAAGGCGACGACGGGUAGUCGGCCUGAGAGGGCGACCGGCCACACUGGAACUGAGACACGGUCCAGACUCCUACGGGAGGCAGCAGUGGGGAAUAUUGCACAAUGGGCGAAAGCCUGAUGCAGCGACGCCGCGUGAGGGACGACGGCCUUCGGGUUGUAAACCUCUUUCAGCAGGGACGAAGCGAAAGUGACUGUACCUGCAGAAGAAGCACCGGCUAACUACGUG
RNAcentral lists this ribosomal RNA (479 nucleotides) under uncultured bacterium. RNAcentral describes it as "bacterial SSU rRNA". It matches the Rfam family "Bacterial small subunit ribosomal RNA", at positions 15 to 507 of the family's 1533-position model. The record is from RNAcentral.